GGAGGCAUGGCUCAGUAAUAGAGUAACCACCUUAUACAUGCAAGCCCUGAGUUCAAGCCUCAGUUCUGCCA
Molecule: transfer RNA, 71 nt
Filed under: Dipodomys ordii (Ord's kangaroo rat)
Lineage: Eukaryota; Metazoa; Chordata; Mammalia; Rodentia; Heteromyidae
Rfam family: tRNA
About the family: Transfer RNA (tRNA) molecules are approximately 80 nucleotides in length. Their secondary structure includes four short double-helical elements and three loops (D, anti-codon, and T loops).
Source: Rfam by way of RNAcentral